UAUAGUAGUCUCACAGUUUGUUAUGUUUUAGACCUAUAAUAUCCCCUCAAAAGCUCAUAUAUUCACAGGCUGAGCUUCUUGACGGUGAUUAGAUUAUGAGAGCUCUAAUGUCGUUAAUGAGGUCAUAAUUUGAUGCCAUUAUGAGGAGAGGAUGGAAAUAAAGGUUGGGUUUGGUUGGAGGGAGUGCCUCACAGAGGCCUGACAUGAGGACUCUACCUGAUUCCCAGCCCCUUCUUCUGUGGCUCUUUCCCACUUUCUGCUAGCAGUUUCUAGGAUGGCAGAGAGAUACUGCACAGCCACGUGGAUGAUAAAGAAUUGUGACGCAGCCAGCCAUACAUGCUGCCAACUUGAAAUCUGAAUAUGAUGACAGCAAGAACACCACUGUGGCCACAAACAGACACUUCAGACCUGGAAAACUCAACUCAGGAAAAGAAAGUUUAAAUGGAAGAAAUAGCUAAUGCCUCGGUCCAGCAAGAGGAAGAUCAGCUUCCACUAAGUGGCUCAUGAGCAGAGUCAGUGCAGAACUCACUCCUUGAUUUGGCUUUAGCUUUAAUAAGACUUUAUGGAGAUAGUUAAAUGCCACAAAAAAUUAGCAUACAUUCUGCCCACGAAUGAUCAAGACCAGUACUGACCUUAGACCUGGAAGAGUCCUACCUCAAGUGCAUACUUGAGACCCAGUUCAAAGACUGUCCUCACCUACAAUCCUCUGCCUAGACAAAAUGGAAAAGACCAUGCAUAAUACAUUUAAUUUGGUGUAGAUGCUUAAUGAUAAUAGAAUAUCCUCAAGUUAAAGACUCCUGAGAGGUUAAUCUGAGUCCCCUCCGUAAGCUGUGAAGUCAUGGUUGUGAUACAGUGUUGUAUGUAGUUGUAUCAGUGUAUCACUUUUGUGUGUAGUUGGUAUUUUAUUUUUUAUUUUUUGAACCCUCUAAGAACCUUAGGUUCAAAAGCCAGGUCUUAGUCAUUUAUGUCUCCAGCAUGGACAGACCGUGGCACUUAGGAAGAAUUUAUUAUGUAUAAACGUAUAAAGAAUUUAUUACGUAUUUAUUAGUAUAAUAAACUAAUAUAACCACAAUAUGUGGUUAUAUUACCACAUAUAACCACAAUAUGUGCAAAU
Cavia porcellus (domestic guinea pig) is the source of this 1114-nucleotide long non-coding RNA. RefSeq lists it as uncharacterized. The transcript has 3 exons. The record is from RefSeq and is a predicted model, not a curated record. Lineage: Eukaryota; Metazoa; Chordata; Mammalia; Rodentia; Caviidae.